ACUCCUUCUUCCUUUAGGAUGGGAGAGGGGCCAACUCACACACUUCCCAGAAUACAAAUAAGACUUAUCAGUUUUAUAUCUGAAAUUUCCUUUAUUUGAACACUAUAUUAAAUGGAUUUUUGGAACAGUGAGAUGGACUAGAAGUUUGCGCCAUUCAUUCCAUGAAUUAACCUGGUUUUGCAAUUCCUCCAGGAAUGAUUUUUUUUUU
RNAcentral lists this small nuclear RNA (208 nucleotides) under Pelusios castaneus (West African mud turtle). RNAcentral's name for it is "U2 spliceosomal RNA (ENSPCEG00000004070.1)". It matches the Rfam family "U2 spliceosomal RNA". Rfam says of the family: U2 is a small nuclear RNA (snRNA) component of the spliceosome (involved in pre-mRNA splicing). Complementary binding between U2 snRNA (in an area lying towards the 5' end but 3' to hairpin I) and the branchpoint sequence (BPS) of the intron results the bulging out of an unpaired adenosine, on the BPS, which initiates a nucleophilic attack at the intronic 5' splice site, thus starting the first of two transesterification reactions that mediate splicing. The record is from Rfam by way of RNAcentral. Lineage: Eukaryota; Metazoa; Chordata; Testudines; Pelomedusidae.